GAUGAACGCUAGCUACAGGCUUAACACAUGCAAGUCGCGGGGCAGCAUGGGGGUUGCUUGCAACCCCUGAUGGCGACCGGCGCACGGGUGAGUAACGCGUAUCCAACCUGCCCUUCACCACGGGAUAACCCGGCGAAAGUCGGACUAAUACCGUAUGUUGUCCAUUGACGGCAUCCGAUUUGGACGAAAGGCUUAGCGGUGAGGGAUGGGGAUGCGUCCGAUUAGCUCGACGGCGGGGUAACGGCCCACCGUGGCAACGAUCGGUAGGGGUUUGAGAGGAAGGUCCCCCACACUGGAACUGAGACACGGUCCAGACUCCUACGGGAGGCAGCAGUGAGGAAUAUUGGUCAAUGGGCGGAAGCCUGAACCAGCCAAGUAGCGUGCAGGAUGACGGCCCUAUGGGUUGUAAACUGCUUUUAUGCGGGGAUAAAGGAGCCCCUGUGGGCUUUUGCAGGUACCGCAUGAAUAAGGACCGGCUAAUUCCGUGCCAGCAGCCGCGGUAAUACGGAAGGUCCGGGCGUUAUCCGGAUUUAUUGGGUUUAAAGGGAGCGUAGCCGCCCCUUAAGCGUGUUGUGAAAUGCGGGUGCUCAACAUCCGACUUGCAGCGCGAACUGGGGGGCUUGAGUGCGCCGAAAGUAGGCGGAAUUCGUGGUGUAGCGGUGAAAUGCUUAGAUAUCACGAAGAACUCCGAUUGCGAAGGCAGCUUACUGUAGCGCAACUGACGCUGAUGCUCGAAAGCGUGGGUAUCGAACAGGAUUAGAUACCCUGGUAGUCCACGCGGUAAACGAUGGAUGCUCGUUGUCGGCCUGUAUGGUCGGUGACCAAGCGAAAGCGUUAAGCAUCCCACCUGGGGAGUACGCCGGCAACGGUGAAACUCAAAGGAAUUGACGGGGGCCCGCACAAGCGGAGGAACAUGUGGUUUAAUUCGAUGAUACGCGAGGAACCUUACCCGGGCUUGAACUGCGGCG
RNAcentral lists this ribosomal RNA (968 nucleotides) under Prevotella sp. oral taxon 317. RNAcentral describes it as "bacterial SSU rRNA". It matches the Rfam family "Bacterial small subunit ribosomal RNA", at positions 28 to 993 of the family's 1533-position model. The record is from RNAcentral. Lineage: Bacteria; Pseudomonadati; Bacteroidota; Bacteroidia; Bacteroidales; Prevotellaceae.